This 354-nucleotide ribosomal RNA is filed under the name Paradactylodon persicus (Persian mountain salamander). RNAcentral describes it as "Iranodon persicus (Persian mountain salamander) partial 16S ribosomal RNA". Lineage: Eukaryota; Metazoa; Chordata; Amphibia; Caudata; Hynobiidae. The record is from RNAcentral.
GUAAAAAAUUUAGCCUACUUCCCCCUUGUAAAAAAUAAUUUUAAACCAUAAAAUAAAACAUUUUCACCACUUUAGUAUAGGAGAUAGAAAAACUUAUUUAGCGCAAUAGAAAAAGUACUGCAAAGGAAAAAUGAAAUAGAAAUUAAAUAAAACAUAAAAACAACAAAAAGCAAAGAUUUAACCUUAUACCUUUUGCAUUAUGGUCUAGUAAGUUUAACCUAACACAAAGAACUUAAGUUAGAUACCCCGAAACUAAACGAGUUACUCCGAAGCAGCAAAACAUGGGCCAACCCUUCUCUGUGGCAAAAGAGUGGGACGACUUCCGAGUAGCGGUGAUAAACCUACCGAGCUUAG